Molecule: ribosomal RNA, 492 nt
Filed under: uncultured bacterium
Lineage: Bacteria
Description: partial 16S ribosomal RNA
Rfam family: Bacterial small subunit ribosomal RNA
Source: RNAcentral
AUUGAACGCUGGCGGCGUGCUUUACACAUGCAAGUCGAACGGAAACAGGCCUUCUUUUGCUGACGAUUGGGUGACGGGCGGGUAAUUAAUCGGAACGUACCCUGAGGUUGGGGAUAAGGCAACUAAAGCUGUGCUAAUACCGCAUCGGAUCGGAGCAUGAGAUCGGGGGAGCGGGCAGCAAAGUUUGGGCUGGCGGGUUUGGAGCGGCGGAUGUUGAGUUAGCUGGUGGGGUGGGUAAAUGCCUACCAAGGCGAGGAUCCGUGGCCUGUCUGAGAGGACGGCCAGCAGCACUGGGACUGAGCCACGGACAAGACUCCUAAGGGAGGCAGCAGUGGCGAAUGUUGGACAAUGGGCGCAAGUCUGGCACAGCAAUGCCGCGCGCGGGAAGAAGGCCUUCGGGUUGUAAACCGCUUUUGGCAGGAACGAAACGGUGUCCGCUAAUACCGAGCGUUAAUGACGGUACCUGCAGAAUAAGCACCGGCUAACUACGUG